GUAUUUUAAUGUGUUCUUCCCUUUCGUUGCUCAUAUUUUCAAUUUCUAUUUCGAAAUGAAAUUCCAUGGUGUGAUACCUAACUAAGCCAUACUCACAGUAGACCCACUGAAAUCAAUUCUUACUUAAUCCCAAUGAGUUUACUUUGAGUAGCAUUGGAUACCACCCUACGUUUCUAAAAAAGAAUUUCACAUCUUUUGGAUGUUACAAACAUCUGGCACCAUAUGUACAUACAAUAAAUUCUACUUAGGUGCCUAUUUCUAAGACAUUUCUUCUGAUUUGAUAUUAAAUUCAUUUGUAUUAGUGAGAAUCUUAUGGGGGUGGGGGUUUAUGACAAGUGCUACCAAUCUCAGAACUGCUCAAUAAUAUUUAGAGCACUGCUUUAUUAACUAAGUGUAUUUUAAUGAAGUUAUUUUGGGCAAUAAAAUACUGUUCAUUGAAAAAUGUUAUAUAUUUAUGACAGGGUGGAUUGAUUUAAAUCAAAUCGAUUAAAAAAACGAUUUAAAUCACUAGUCAGUAAGACUUGAUUUAAAUGAUUUUUUUUUUUAAUAGACAGACUCAUUCUUGCUGGUAUAAUCUUAAUAUUUACAACCAGAUGAAGGCUACAUUUUUGGAAUAAUAAAUUUUCAGCGUAGUUUUUACAGUUAUAUAAAAAAUUACUGAUUUGGUUAUACUAUUAGAAAUACAUUGACAGAUAAUUAUGAAAUUAUUGUGAGGUUUAAUAAGUUAACUGUUUAUAUUUGGACAACUUUUCUGCUGUACUUUAUUGGAAGGAGAAAAAUAAUCAUUUCCUUAAUAACAAUUUAAACAAUUUAUUUAACUAAAUCAGUAACAUUAUAGCAUAUGUAUCCAUGUUCGUUAACUGAUGUGGUUAAACAUUGUUGUUGUUUUUUUAAAAAAAGCUUAGACUGAGUUUAAGCAAACAUGAAAAACUUAAAACAAAUCCUUAUUUCCUGAUGAAUAACCUUUGGACUAUAAUGUAACUUAAAUAGAAAACUAUCUUUAGAAAGAUUUUUCCACCAAAAGCAUUUUAUUUUUAAAAUCCAAUUUAAAUUUUAAAAAAUCUGAUUUAAAUUUUAAAAAAAUCUGAUUUUUUAUUUUUAAAAAAUAAUAAUUGCUUUUUAUUCACCCUGAUUUAUGAUACUUUAUAUAAAACAAAAUUCAUAAUAGUAUAAAAGUGUAUAUUUUCCUUUCAGUGUUAUAAUUGAAAUGUGUAUGAAUUUUUCGGUAGUUUAUUAUUUAAAUUUUUUUUUGGUUUUUUGUUUAUUUGUAGUCAAGGAGAGAAUAAGUUUCUCAUAAUCCAAUCCAACCAGAUCAUUUAACUUAUUUAGAAAUGUUUUUGAGAUGUUAUUUUAUCUUAAUGCAACUCUGUUGUGUAACAUUUUAAGUAAAAUCUAGUUACAAUGUUUUUGUUUCCCACCAUCACAAAAUAAGACACCUUCUUUGCUGCCCCAGGACCUCAAAAUACCAACUGGCUCCAGUUUUGAUAAAGUGAAGGUGAUACCAAGCCUUUGAUGAGUUCUAAGCAGAACUAGAUUGUAAUCCUUUCCUGGUUAAAAAAGGCUCUCAAGUUAACCACACAGAUAACAAAUGUGUGAUUCUUUCAGUACCAGUUCUCUUAUGUUUUCUAUUCUACAGACCCUUUGGGAAGUACCGGUAAACAAAUCAAAAAGAUGAAAGUUCGAGGCCCUUAAAGUGUUACAAUGAAUCAACAUAACCACUCAGAAAACUAGCAAAAAGACCUCUCUAUUAAGCUACCAUUCUCUAAAUGGUUUAUUAAAAUCUAAGGCGUUAUAAAAACAUUAAGGCAUUAUAAUCUAAGGCAUUAUAAAAACAUUAAACAUGUCAUCUAAUGGCUGUAUUUUAUUACUAUAUUCUGCAAUGCCGUGGCUGUUACAAGCAUAUAUCAAAAGCCCAUUAGAUGCUGCACAAAACAAAAAUAGUGGAAACCUAGUGUCAUUCUGGGUCUACCAACUAUCAAAAACACAGACAAAGUAAAACUCUACCUCGUGAAACUUAGUAAAUGCAGCCCAAACACUGGGGAAAUUAUUCUGGAAAAAGAUCAGGGUUUGGGGGCAUAAUGGUCUCACAAAACUGGGUCCUACUGCUCCUUUUAAAGAAGGUGUAUCAUUCACCUGUCCCAUGCAACUUAUUAUGAAUAAGGUCACACAAAUAUUUCAUUUCUCAGUCAUGCACCUACAUUACUUUCCCAUUGGUUGCAAUUCAUUCUGUGCAAACUAGUCAUAUGUUACAGUUGCCUAAAGUCACCACUAAUACAUGAAAAAGUAUUUGUGCAAACAAGCCAUGCAAGUCAAUGGUUGUGUUUGGUUAUCACGAUAAACACAGAGUAUUGGUUAUUAAACUGGCUUGUUUUAACAGCCAUGGGUUCAAAGCCAUGUCCUAAACCUGGCUAAUCUAAAACCAAAGCAGAAGUUUCUGAUCGCCUAGUGGAGUGGGAAAGCUCUUGCGGGGUGUGUGGGUGUGUAGGUUAUUCUCAUAACUGUAAACCAUGAAUUAACAUUAUGUCAGAAUGCAAAUAAUAUCCAGCAGAAAUGAAGUUCAACAACCCAGUGCAGAUAGUAUGUGGGAAAGGAAUGCCUCAUCUAAUACAAUGCAUUUCUGACUCUUUAUUCAUCACACAAUUUACGCACGUUAGCAUUUUCAUAAUUUGUCCACACUUUUCAUAUAACUGGCUGCUACGGUAGGGCAUUCACAUUAUUGUGAGGCAGAGAGAAAACAGGCAAAUAAAUCAACUGCAAUGACUAUGGUAGGGAACACAGGGUUCAGCUCAAUUCAGAAGCCUGAUAAUGUGCAUGUUUAUUGUUUUUAAAAUAUUGUACAUCCUUCCUCCCUAAGAGCUGUGUACAUUGAAAACAAUAUGAAAUAAAGACAAGCUAUAGAAAACAGUAAAACUCACAGCAGCCCAUCCAAAAUUAAGAGGUCUCAAAACCUUUAUUAAAAUGAAAUGUUUUAACUGUCCUAUUGAACACAAGCAGUGAAGGAACCAUAGAGAGGAAUGGGUCAGUGCCUUUGGCUGUUAACCAGAAGGUUGGUGGUUUGUGUCCACCAAGGGAUGGCUGUGAGAGGAAUUUCUGCAUUGCAGAGGGUUAGACUAGAUGACCCUUGGGGUCUCUUCCAAUUCUAACUUUCUAUCUCAUGAAGAAGAGUGUUUCAGAGGGCAGGAACCACCACAGAAAAUGCCCUUUUGUGCACUGUCGUGUGGGGUGGAGGAAAAAAUAUUUUUGAAUGGAUUUAGACACAGAAUCUGGCUUUUCUGACCCAAUCUAGUAUUGGAUCACCUCUUGAAUACAAAAGUUUUUGUCAGAACCUCUCAUGCAUUUUCAUGUUUUUUAAAAAAACCUGGAUAAUUAUAUGCAAAAUUAUACAUCUAUUAUACGCAUAUGUAUAUCUAGUAUAU
This is a non-coding RNA of Podarcis lilfordi (Lilford's wall lizard), 3416 nucleotides long. NCBI's taxonomy places the organism in Eukaryota, Metazoa, Chordata, Lepidosauria, Squamata, Lacertidae. The record is from the annotation of a GenBank genome assembly.